RNAcentral lists this ribosomal RNA (484 nucleotides) under uncultured bacterium. RNAcentral's name for it is "partial 16S ribosomal RNA". It matches the Rfam family "Bacterial small subunit ribosomal RNA", at positions 30 to 507 of the family's 1533-position model. The record is from RNAcentral.
AUUGAACGCUGGCGGCAGGCCUAACACAUGCAAGUCGAGCGGAUGAAGGGAGCUUGCUCCUGGAUUCAGCGGCGGACGGGUGAGUAAUGCCUAGGAAUCUGCCUGGUAGUGGGGGAUAACGUCCGGAAACGGGCGCUAAUACCGCAUACGUCCUGAGGGAGAAAGUGGGGGAUCUUCGGACCUCACGCUAUCAGAUGAGCCUAGGUCGGAUUAGCUAGUUGGUGGGGUGAAGGCCUACCAAGGCGACGAUCCGUAACUGGUCUGAGAGGAUGAUCAGUCACACUGGAACUGAGACACGGUCCAGACUCCUACGGGAGGCAGCAGUGGGGAAUAUUGGACAAUGGGCGAAAGCCUGAUCCAGCCAUGCCGCGUGUGUGAAGAAGGUCUUCGGAGUGUAAAGCACUUUAAGUUGGGAGGAAGGGCAGUAAGUUAAUACCUUGCUGUUUUGACGUUACCAACAGAAUAAGCACCGGCUAACUUCGUG